This 253-nucleotide ribosomal RNA is filed under the name uncultured bacterium. RNAcentral's name for it is "partial 16S ribosomal RNA". It matches the Rfam family "Bacterial small subunit ribosomal RNA", at positions 524 to 776 of the family's 1533-position model. The record is from RNAcentral.
UACGUAGGUGGCAAGCGUUGUCCGGAUUUACUGGGCGUAAAGGGCGUGCAGGCGGUUCGUUAAGUUCGAGGUGAAAGCUCCCGGCUCAACUGGGAGAGGUCCCCGGAUACUGGCGGACUUGAGGGAGGCAGAGGAAAGUGGAAUUCCCGGUGUAGUGGUGAUAUGCGUAGAUAUCGGGAGGAACACCAGUGGCGAAGGCGGCUUUCUGGGCCUUACCUGACGCUGAGACGCGAAAGCGUGGGGAGCGAACCGG